Molecule: long non-coding RNA, 1042 nt
Organism: Protopterus annectens (West African lungfish)
Lineage: Eukaryota; Metazoa; Chordata; Ceratodontiformes; Protopteridae
Exons: 3
Source: RefSeq, a predicted model, not a curated record
AAAUACCAGCACUAGUAACUCCUCUGUGUUGAGUUAUACUAGUGGCUAUUGUUACCUCUAAAGACCCUGCAAAAUCUCCUGGCGGUGUAGUGUAUGCUGACAUCAGGAAGUUUAUAAAUCAUCCUGCUUGCUCACCGCUAACUGCAAACUGAAUCUGCAUUUUGUUCUGUCUCUUCUCCUGCCCGGUCGCCUCUCCUGGCUUACAGGUAGCCCCCUCCCUUGCCUAGCUUCCUGUGGUUCCCAAGACCUGACAUCGCGCCCAUCUGGACCACAAAUGAAAACUAAACCUGCAGCAUAAACUCUUCUUAAAACACAGGGUAAACUCAAAGAAUUAUUAUCCUACUCAGAGAGAAUUAUACUGUUCUUGUUAAGAACCUGACACUCUCACUUGAAGACUUCAAUACUACAAAGCCUGGAAAAUUGUAUUAUAAAUACCAGCACUAGUAACUCCUCUGUGUUGAGUUAUACUAGUGGCUAUUGUUACCUCUAAAGACCCUGCAAAAUCUCCUGGCGGUGUAGUGUAUGCUGACAUCAGGAAGUUUAUAAAUCAUCCUGCUUGCUCACCGCUAACUGCAAACUGAAUCUGCAUUUUGUUCUGUCUCUUCUCCUGCCCGGUCGCCUCUCCUGGCUUACAGGUAGCCCCCUCCCUUGCCUAGCUUCCUGUGGUUCCCAAGACCUGACAUCGCGCCCAUCUGGACCACAAAUGAAAACUAAACCUGCAGCAUAAACUCUUCUUAAAACACAGGGUAAACUCAAAGAAUUAUUAUCCUACUCAGAGAGAAUUAUACUGUUCUUGUUAAGAACCUGACACUCUCACUUGAAGACUUCAAUACUACAAAGCCUGGAAAAUUGUAUUAUAAAUACCAGCACUAGUAACUCCUCUGUGUUGAGUUAUACUAGUGGCUAUUGUUACCUCUAAAGACCCUGCAAAAUCUCCUGGCGGUGUAGUGUAUGCUGACAUCAGGAAGUUUAUAAAUCAUCCUGCUUGCUCACCGCUAACUGCAAACUGAAUCUGCAUUUUGUUCUGUCUCUUCUCCUGCCC